GUUGGGCUCACUUCAGCACAUGCUAAAAUUGGAAUGAUACAGAGAAGAUUAGCAUGACCACUGUGCAAGGAUGGCACACAGAUUCAUGAAGCACUCCAUAUUUUC
This is a small nuclear RNA of Peromyscus maniculatus bairdii (prairie deer mouse), 105 nucleotides long. The record is from Ensembl. NCBI's taxonomy places the organism in Eukaryota, Metazoa, Chordata, Mammalia, Rodentia, Cricetidae.